RNAcentral lists this ribosomal RNA (253 nucleotides) under uncultured bacterium. Its description in RNAcentral is "partial 16S ribosomal RNA". It matches the Rfam family "Bacterial small subunit ribosomal RNA", at positions 524 to 776 of the family's 1533-position model. The record is from RNAcentral.
GACAGAGGCCUCGAGCGUUAGGCGGAAUCACUGGGCUUAAAGCGUGCGUAGGCGGGCCCGUAAGUGUCUUGUGAAAUCCCACGGCUCAACCGUGGAACUGCUGGGCAUACUGCGGGUCUUGGGCCAACUAGGGGCAGCCGGAACAAGCGGUGGAGCGGUGAAAUGCGUAGAUAUCGCUUGGAACGCCGAAGGUGAAAACAGGCUGCUGGGGUUGCGCCGACGCUGAGACACGAAAGCCAGGGGAGCAAACAGG